This 460-nucleotide ribosomal RNA is filed under the name uncultured bacterium. RNAcentral's name for it is "partial 16S ribosomal RNA". It matches the Rfam family "Bacterial small subunit ribosomal RNA", at positions 338 to 795 of the family's 1533-position model. The record is from RNAcentral.
CCUACGGGCGACAGCAGUGAGGAAUAUUGGUCAAUGGGCUUACGCCUGAACCAGCCAAGUCGCGUGAGGGAAGACUGCCCUAUGGGUUGUAAACCCCUUUUGUCAGGGAGCAACGCCGGCUACGUGUACCCGGACUGAUUGUCCCUGCAGAAAAAGCAUCGGCAAACUCCGUGCCAGCAGCCGCGCUAAUACGGAGGAUGCGAGCGUUCUCCGGAUGUAUUGGGUUAAAGGGGUGCGUAGGCGGACUGCCAAGUAAGCGGUAAAAUCGCGGGGCUCAACCUCGCUCCGCCGUUGAAACUGGCGUUCUUGAGUGGGCGAGAGGUAUGCGGAAUGCGUGGUGUAGCAGUGAAAUGCAUAGAUAUCGCGCAGAACUCCGGUUGCGAAGGCAGCAUACCGGCGCACAACUGACGCUGAAGCACGAAAGCGUGGGUAUCGAACAGGAUUAGAUACCCCGGUAGUC